Molecule: long non-coding RNA, 3754 nt
Filed under: Homo sapiens (human)
Lineage: Eukaryota; Metazoa; Chordata; Mammalia; Primates; Hominidae
Description: HSALNT0305197
Source: RNAcentral
CGAAGGGUGAGUGAGGAUCUGCCGGAGGGAGGGAGACAACAAGGAGAGAGGGGUGUGAGAUGGCGGGGAGGGAACACGCACAAGCCAAGCCGUGGGAUGUGGAGGGUGCGGGCGGGGCGCGGGGCAGGCUCAGCUGCCCUCAGAGUCUGGGCUGGGGAGAGCCGGGGCCCACGAGGCGUGGCAAGGCGGGGAGAGAGAAGCUAGACCUCCCUGCUGCGCUUCUGCAGCGAAAAUGGAGAGACCCGGAAGGCGUGUGUGCGCCCGCCUCUCCCACAGGAGGGAGCGCGGAGACCCGGGAGCGGCCUAGGACCGGAGGCGCGACCCCUCGGCCCACCUUGAGGCCCGGCCUAGGACCGGAGGCGCGACCCCUGGGCCCACCUUGAGGCCCGGCCUAGGACUGGAGGCGCGACCCCUCGGCCCACCUUGCGGGAGCCGCCUAGGACCGGAGGCGCGACCCCUCGGCCCAGCUUGAGGCCCGGCCUAGGACCGGAGGCGCGACCCCUCGGCCCACCUUGCGGGAGCCGCCUAGGACCGGAGGCGCGACCCCUCGGCCCGGCCUAGGACUGGAGGCGCGACCCCUCGGCCCACCUUACGGGAGCCGCCUAGGGCCGGAGGCGCGACCCCUCGGCCCAGCUUGAGGCCCGGCCUAGGACCGGAGGCGCGACCCCUCGGCCCACCUUGAGGCCCGGCCUAGGACUGGAGGCGCGACCCCUCGGCCCACCUUGAGGCCCGGCCUAGGACCGGAGGCGCGACCCCUGGGCCCACCUUGAGGCCCGGCCUAGGACUGGAGGCGCGACCCCUCGGCCCACCUUGAGGCCCGGCCUAGGACCGGAGGCGCGACCCCUGGGCCCACCUGGCGGCCCGGCCGGCACAGCCCGCCUCUCCUCUCCAGGCCAGGGCCCCACACCUUCCGCCUGACAGCCAGCCAAGCUCUUCAGUCCCCCGCCCUCCACCUGCCAGGGAGGCUCCGGGCGUUGUACCUGCCACCACGGGGUAGGUCUGACGGAGUUUUGCUCUUGUUGCCCAAGCUGGAGUGCAAUGGUGCGAUCUUCGCUUACUGCAACCUCUGCUUCCUGGGUUCAAGUGAUUCCCCUGCCUCAGCCUCCCGAGUAGCAGGGAUUACAGGUGCGUGCUACCAUGCCAGGCUAAUUUUUUGUAUCUUUAGUAGAGACAGGAGUUUCACCAUGUUGGCCAGGCUAGUCUUAAACUCCUGACCUCAUGAUCUGCCUGGCUUGACCUCCCAAAGUGUUGGGAUUACAGGCAUGAGCCGUUGCACCUGGCCAGGGUGUGUCUUAUUGAAAUUGAACAAAAUACCUAAUUUCUAGAGCGUAUAAGAGAAGUUUAAAAUGCUUUAUGGAUGUGUUGUUUUGACAGCAAAAUAUCUACUCAGAAUCCUAUAGCUAUUUCAAAAUCCAAGUAACUUAGAAAAAAAGGAAAAAGAAAACCUAUAUAGUCAAAUCUUUUGGUGAUUUUGUAUUCAAUGACUGAAACUUCCCAGUGAUUAUUGGGCUUUUUAGCUGGAAUUGAACUUGAAUCGGGGCAGAGCAGCACAAUGCUUCAGAACUUCAGCGACUCUGAGCCCUGGUUCUGCAAUGACCUGCCAAGUAGCUUUAGUCUACUUGACUGCUCUGAACCUUAAUUUUCUCACCUGUAUGGGAAUCAUAGACUCUACUUUAUGAGGCUGACGUAAGCAUUACAUGAAAUUUUGUAUACUUAUACAUAAUGUGCUUAGCACCGAAUACUUGGUGACAGCAGAUGCCCAAUGAGAGUUAUCACAGAUAUUAUUUCAGAAUCGUGAAGAGUCAGAAGCCACCAAAUUCUUGAUUUCUGUCAAUAAACUGAUAUUCAUAUUCUGUUGAUUUUUUUUGAUGCAUUUGUAAAAUAGGGAAACAAGAGCUGUAUGACUUCUAGCUAUGUCUGGUCAUGAAAUAGCAACCAGGAAUAAGGCCACAUGAUGUUUCUGAUGAACACUUCCCCCUGCCCUUUUUUUUUUUUUUUCAGAUGGAGCCUCGCUCUGUCACCCAGGCUGGAGUGCAGUGGCACAAUCUCGGGUCACUGCAACCUCCGCCCCCCAGCUUCAAGCGAUUCUCCUGUCUCAGCCUCCCGAGUAGCUAGGAUUACAGGUGCACGCCACCAGGCCUGGCUAAUUUUUAUAUUUUUAGUAGAGAUGGGAUUUUGCCUUGUUGGCCAGGCUGGUCUCAAACUCCUGACCUCAGGUGACCCAUCCACCUUGGCCUCCCAAAGUGCUGGGACUACAGGUGUGAGCCACCAUGCCUGGUCCCCCACUUGUUGAUUUUGCAGAAAAGAUAGCUGUGUUACAACCUGUCCUAAGGUCAGGUAUGAAUACUUGUGCUUCUUUCUUGGCUCCCCAAGCCAGAGGGCAUUCCUAUGCCCAGGUGAGAGAGCACGGAGUGUUACUUUGGCAGCACAGUCAGUUACCAGAGGUAGGAAAAGCAAAGGCCAGGCAGGACAUGAGGGGCCCUUGCACUGGCUGGUUCUCCCUGCCUUCACCACCCUCCAGGUGAAUGACUGGGUGAAUAAUGAUUGACUGAGGAGGUAAUGAAUAAUUUAUGGACACUGCUGGACCUCAGUCUCCUCAUCUGAAAGAUGAGUGGUUGGAGAAGUUUAAUGGUUUUCAAAUGCUUUUUUUUUCAGUCUUCAAAUAAGUGUUUACGUAGAAGCACCAUAUCUGAAACAGGUGACAGUGGACCAGUCUGAAUGAAAUGAGGGUUGGCAGGCCUGAGCUCCAAAACCUUCUGAUUGCCCAAGCCCUCCUUGUCUUGCUUGGAUUAUCUCCACACAAAUGGAGAAACUGGACAAGGUGGUCAUGGAGGUCCCUGAAAGCUCAAAGACUUUCUCAUUCCAGGAUUCCCCAUGUUCAUAUGCCAGCAUGGCAUGGGGGUGCUCUGUAGUCAAGCAGGGUCCUUUGGGGGGCUUAGGGAUGGAGCCAGGAAAUGGCUCUGGGACUCAGCGGGUGUCCAGAGUCUCAUCAGCAGGGUUUCUUUACUUUCACUGAGUGGCUGGUGCCUGCACACUGAGUUUUGCAGGCUUACUCUCACAGAGUGAGCUUCCUGCAGGCCCCCCACUGCAACCCCUUUCCUUCCUGGAGCUGUGUGCUGACUGGUGCGUGAGCACCCCAGGCCCUCUCCCCAUGCUGCUGAUGGUCAGCUUUCUCUGCACGCUCGUGGUUGCCACAGUCAACGCUGAUAAAAUUGCUGAUGCAGAUUGCCUGCCCAGCUGCGAGUGCUGGCACGGGACCAGCAGCCCAGACGGUCACUGGAAGUGGUUGGGCUGAUUAUUGGCAUCAUCUCCAUUGUCCUACUCGGUUCUUAAAGGCAUAUGGACUUGCCUCACUCCUACAGCAAAUGACGGCAUGGGCAAAGAGGGGCAACAGACCCACCCUGAAGACACUCCUCAUCUGGUUGACUUGGCAGGGUUAAGGGAAAAAGAUGUGAUGACUAGGAGCUGAGAGCUUAGUGGUUCUGCCAGAGCUGCAGAGUCUUUGUUGGCCUCAGGGUGGGACCUCUCACAUCUCUGUCAGCUUUUCACGGACACCAACCUGUUAUGAUUCAUUUCACCUGUCCUGAGCACUAGCAAGAAAAAUUCGCUGUAGCUUGUGAUGUAUUAUUCUGGAUUUCUCAACUCAUUCAUUUGUUCAUUCAUUCACUAUACCAUUACUGUCUAUUAUAAGGGGGGCACAAUGGUAGGUGCUGGGAAUAAAAACGAUGUUUAACGUUUCAUGAGGCUUCCCUGU